This 433-nucleotide ribosomal RNA is filed under the name uncultured bacterium. RNAcentral describes it as "partial 16S ribosomal RNA". It matches the Rfam family "Bacterial small subunit ribosomal RNA", at positions 29 to 507 of the family's 1533-position model. The record is from RNAcentral.
AACGAACGCUGGCGGCAUGCCUAACACAUGCAAGUCGAACGAGACCUUCGGGUCUAGUGGCGCACGGGUGCGUAACGCGUGGGAACCUUCCCUUAGGUUCGGAAUAACUCCCCGAAAGGGGUGCUAAUACCGGAUAAUGUCUUCGGACCAAAGAUUUAUCGACUUUGGAUGGGCCCGAGUUGGAUUAGCUAGUUGUUAGGGUAAAAGCCUACCAAGGCGACGAUCCAUAGCUGGUCUGAGAGGAGGAUCAGCCACACUGGGACUGAGACACGGCCGAGAAUCCUACGGGAGGCAGCAGUGGGGAAUAUUGGACAAUGGGCGAAAGGAUGAUCCAGCAAUGCCGCGUGAGUGAUGAAGGCAUUAGGGUUGUAAAGCUUUUUUACCCGGGAUGAUAAUGACAGUACCGGGAGAAUAAGCUACGGCUAACUCCGUG